Molecule: ribosomal RNA, 253 nt
Filed under: uncultured bacterium
Lineage: Bacteria
Description: partial 16S ribosomal RNA
Rfam family: Bacterial small subunit ribosomal RNA
Source: RNAcentral
UACAGAGGGGGCAGGCGUUGUUCGGAAUUACUGGGCGUAAAGGGCGCGUAGGCGGCCGCCUAAGUCAGACGUGAAAUCCCUCGGCUCAACCGGGGAACUGCGUCUGAUACUGGGUGGCUUGAAUUCGGGAGAGGGAUGCGGAAUUCCAGGUGUAGCGGUGAAAUGCGUAGAUAUCUGGAGGAACACCGGUGGCGAAGGCGGCAUCCUGGACCGGCAUUGACGCUGAGGCGCGAAAGCCAGGGGAGCAAACGGG